AUACCAGACUCCUACGGGAGGCAGCAGUGGGGAAUAUUGCACAAUGGGGGAAACCCUGAUGCAGCGACGCCGCGUGAGUGAAGAAGUAUUUCGGUAUGUAAAGCUCUAUCAGCAGGGAAGAAAAUGACAGUACCUGAGUAAGAAGCCCCGGCUAACUACGUGCCAGCAGCCGCGGUAAUACGUAGGGGGCAAGCGUUAUCCGGAAUUACUGGGUGUAAAGGGAGCGUAGACGGUGAAGUAAGUCGGGAGUGAAAGGCGGGGGCCCAACCCCCGGACUGCUCUGGAAACUAUUUGACUGGAGUGCAGGAGAGGUAAGCGGAAUUCCUGGUGUAGCGGUGAAAUGCGUAGAUAUCAGGAGGAACACCGGCGGCGAAGGCGGCUUACUGGACUGUAACUGACGUUGAGGCUCGAAGGCGUGGGGAGCAAACAGGAUUAGAUACCCUCGUAA
This 448-nucleotide ribosomal RNA is filed under the name uncultured bacterium. Its description in RNAcentral is "bacterial SSU rRNA". It matches the Rfam family "Bacterial small subunit ribosomal RNA", at positions 328 to 793 of the family's 1533-position model. The record is from RNAcentral.